This 226-nucleotide long non-coding RNA is filed under the name Bos taurus (domestic cattle). Its description in RNAcentral is "long non-coding RNA NONBTAT010858". Lineage: Eukaryota; Metazoa; Chordata; Mammalia; Artiodactyla; Bovidae. The record is from RNAcentral.
AUCAUCGCUUAUGGGUCUCAUGUGCUUUCACAGACAUGUUUGACUUCUAGCCUUACAUGUGUUAUUUUCUGAGAGGUCUGACUUGGAACUGACUUGGAGUAUUCCAUUAUUACUUGUUAAGCAACUGCAUAAAAAUAUGAAUGUUCAUAUUCAUAAAAUAAAGCUAUAGCUUUAUUUUCUGCAUCAUAAAUAUGGAAACAUUCAAUAAAAUUCAGUCUUACUAUGG